GUGAUGCAGGCCUGGGAGUAUAGCCAGCCUGGACACCCUCACACUCAGUUGCUUCAGGCAACCCUGCUGUUCUGACAGUGGAGAAGGUUCUCUGUUUUCUGAACAGUCACCCUGAGCCAGGGCUGAGCUUUGGCUCAAUUGUUUUGGAUAUGGAGCCUCAACUCACCCUUCUGGGUAGCUUGGGGUUACUCUUUCUGUACCUGACUUACCUGGUGAUGAAAUCACUUUUGCCAACUACCUGGGAAAAUGAAGAAACCCAAAAGCCUCCGGAGUGAGGAUCAUGGCACCAUGAACCUCCAGACGCCCUCUGUGACAUGUGUAAUAGAUCAACUGCUGAGCUCGUGAAAGUGCUGUUCCGGCAGUUUCUGAAAGAUGCUGCUCCCUGUCUCACUUUUAGCUUCUACAGUUUCUGGAACAGAAUUAUCACACAUUUUUUCCUCCACCCUCUCAGCAAGCCCUCCAGGAGACCUACUACCAGCCCCUCUGCCAGAGCCUUCUCCACCUCCUGCCUCCAUUCUCUCACCUGACCUGAUGACCCCUUUUUUCACUUACUUUCACCCUCACCAUUGGUGACUCUCUGUCCCCAGAGCCUGUUCCUCCCUUGGAUCCAAAUUCUCAGUGGACCAUUCCCCACCCCAGCUGCUUGCCUUUUCCCCUCUCCCACCACAUCACACUCAGGGAGCAGAUCCUGUCCUCCAGCCAGAAGCCACUUUGUCUAUAAAAACCAUCUUUGCACUUGACCCAAUCUUUUUCUGAGAUAUCGACCCCUUGCCAAAUUUUUCCCAGGCAGUGGAUCCUACCCAUUCCCAUGCUUGUCAUCAUGCACUACCAACCCUUGCUUCACUACCACUAGAUGGCAUUUUAACUGUGACUUAAUCUAAAUCAAUUUCCAUCUUUUUGAAGCCUGUUCUGGAGAUGUCCUCUCUAGAUAGAGGUGAUGAAUUGUCGACUGAUGUCCCAACAAUCAGAGACAUUGACCCUUCAAGCCUUGCAAUUUCAGAAUUCUCCUGGUGGUAGCCUUAGGCCAGGGACUUGUUCCCCUUCAACUUGGCGCCAUGUGAUUUCAAGCAAGAGCUGCUUGCCCCCACCCUUCUGAGGCCUCUUUUGCAGGAGACCCUGCAGCCAACCUUGAAGAACCUGGUAACCUCUCUUUUUUUCAACCCUGAUGUUCUGGCAUUCUUGGAGAGACAAGUUAAAAAGAGGAGUGAUUUCCUGAUGUGGAAAGGAAAAGGAAAAGAAAAUGGGAUCUUUUCCAAAGCAACUUAAGUCAGACUACCAACUAAAUUCUUCAGCAAAAAUGUUAGCAUCAGUUGCCAAUAAGCCUGACUUGGCAGUUUUCCUUCCAGAAAAGACAAACCAGAGGAGCUACACGUGCAUCAGCAGCUCAUACAUCCUAAGAUCCUUGAAGUAACUCAUGGCCAAUCCAACUUCAAUCCCUACUCCCUAUCCUAUCACCUGAUCCUCUGUCCCAGAUUAGGUUCUGUUGAGUAUAUUUUCAUAAACUCCAGAAUGAGGCACUGUCUCUUCUGCCAUCUGAAAUUCACUGCCUAGAAUGGAACGUGCUGCAGAAAGAACAGGAAAUUGUGUGGGGUUUACCGUCUGUGGUCAGGAAAUCUCAGCAAGACUUUUGUCCUCCAGCUCCCAACAUUACGUUGGUCAGCCAGUCCUCCAAAGUUUAUGUUCCAAUCUCUAUCCUUCCGGGGGAAUUUCCUCUCAGCAGUGAGCUUUAAAAAAACUAGAGCACCACACUCAAAAGAGGCUCAUCCAACACCAGUGGGGCCUUCCCCAUAGGAUCCAUGAGUCUUUGUCCCUGCUGAAUCUUGGAGAGAAAUUCCUGAGACAUCUAAGUCAAAGUUCCAUCAUGGACUUUCAUGGAUCUCUUUAAAGGGUCCCUCCAUUCCAGUCCUGUGACUGCCACACCUGGAACUUACUAUCAGGAACGCCUCUGACAUCUGCAGCCUGACAUUCCAUCCCUUGACCUAUCCCCUUAUUCUUCCAGCAUAUGCUUUCAAUUUGUCAUUUUUUUCCACUCCAGGUCAUUAAAUUUUUUACUCAUCUA
Molecule: long non-coding RNA, 2059 nt
Organism: Microcebus murinus (gray mouse lemur)
Lineage: Eukaryota; Metazoa; Chordata; Mammalia; Primates; Cheirogaleidae
Source: RefSeq, a predicted model, not a curated record